GUGGGGAAUAUUGGACAAUGGGCGCAAGCCUGAUCCAGCCAUGCCGCGUGUGUGAAGAAGGCCUUUUGGUUGUAAAGCACUUUAAGCGAGGAGGAGGCUCCUUUAGUUAAUACCUAAAGAGAGUGGACGUUACUCGCAGAAUAAGCACCGGCUAACUCUGUGCCAGCAGCCGCGGUAAUACAGAGGGUGCGAGCGUUAAUCGGAUUUACUGGGCGUAAAGCGUGCGUAGGCGGCUUUUUAAGUCGGAUGUGAAAUCCCUGGGCUUAACUUAGGAAUUGCAUUCGAUACUGGAAAGCUAGAGUAUGGGAGAGGAUGGUAGAAUUCCAGGUGUAGCGGUGAAAUGCGUAGAGAUCUGGAGGAAUACCGAUGGCGAAGGCAGCCAUCUGGCCUAAUACUGACGCUGAGGUACGAAAGCAUGGGGAGCAAACAGGAUUAGAUACCCUAGUAGUCC
RNAcentral lists this ribosomal RNA (451 nucleotides) under uncultured bacterium. RNAcentral's name for it is "partial 16S ribosomal RNA". It matches the Rfam family "Bacterial small subunit ribosomal RNA", at positions 354 to 796 of the family's 1533-position model. The record is from RNAcentral.